UACGUAGGGGGCUAGCGUUGUCCGGAAUCAUUGGGCGUAAAGCGCGUGUAGGCGGUCCGGUAAGUCCGCUGUGAAAGUCGAGGGCUCAACCCUCGAAUGCCGGUGGAUACUGUCGGGCUUGAGUACGGGAGAGGCGAGUGGAAUUCCUGGUGUAGCGGUGAAAUGCGCAGAUAUCAGGAGGAACACCGAUUGCGAAGGCAGCUCGCUGGAACGUUACUGACGCUGAGACGCGAAAGCGUGGGGAGCGAACAGG
Molecule: ribosomal RNA, 253 nt
Filed under: uncultured bacterium
Lineage: Bacteria
Description: partial 16S ribosomal RNA
Rfam family: Bacterial small subunit ribosomal RNA
Source: RNAcentral